AGAUGAUAGUGAACCAAAGAUGGU
Molecule: non-coding RNA, 24 nt
Filed under: Arabidopsis thaliana (thale cress)
Lineage: Eukaryota; Viridiplantae; Streptophyta; Magnoliopsida; Brassicales; Brassicaceae
Source: RNAcentral